AUGGAUUGGGGAGCAACGUAGUUGUGUGUGUGUAAAAGUAGUGCCGAGAAAAGCCAUGGUCAUGAUGAAAGCAGAGUCCCGGUACCCGAAACCGACACAGGUGGGCAAGUAGAGUAUACUAAGGGGCGCGAGAUAACUCUCUCUAAGGAACUCGGCAAAAUGACCCCGUAACUUUGGGAGAAGGGGUGCCACCGAGAGGUGGUCGCAGUGAAGAGUCCCAGGCGACUGUUUAGCAAAAACAUAGGUCUCUGCAAACUCGUAAGAGGAGGUAUAGGGGCUGACGCCUGCCCAGUGCCGGAAGGUUAAAGAAGUUGGUCAGUCUUAGGAUAAAGCUAGCGACUGAAGCCCCGGUGAACGGCGGCCGUAACUAUAACGGUCCUAAGGUAGCGAAAUUUCUUGUCGGGUAAGUUCCGACCCGCAUGAAAGGCGUAACGAUCUGGGAGCUGUCUCGGAGAGAGACUCGGCGAAAUAGGAUUGUCUGUGAAGAUACGGACUACCUGCAUUUGGACAGAAAGACCCUAUGAAGCUUUACUGUAGCUUGGAAUUGUGUUCGGGCUUGGAGUGCGCAGGAUAGGUGGGAGGCGUAGAAGGUGUGCUUGUGGGCAAACUGGAGCCAACAGUGAGAUACCACUCUCUCGGAGCUAGAAUUCUAACUUAAUGUAAGGACAGUUUCAGGUGGGCAGUUUGACUGGGGCGGUCGCCUCCAAAAAGGUAACGGAGGCGUACAAAGGUUCCCUCAGACUGGUUGGAAAUCAGUCGGAGAGUGCAAAGGCAGAAGGGAGCUUGACUGCGAGACGGACAAGUCGAGCAGGGUGGAAACACGGUCUUAGUGAUCCGACGGUGCUGUGUGGAAGGGCCGUCGCUCAACGGAUAAAAGUUACACUAGGGAUAACAGGCUGAUCUCCCCCAAGAGUUCACAUCGACGGGGAGGUUUGGCACCCCGAUGUCGGCUCAUCGCAACCUGGGGCGGAAGUACGUCCCAAGGGUUGGGCUGUUCGCCCAUUAAAGCGGUACGUGAGCUGGGUUCAGAACGUCGUGAGACAGUUCGGUCCAUAUCCGAUGUAGGCGUAAGAAUAUUGAGAGGAGCCUUCCUUAGUACGAGAGGACCGGGAAGGACGCACCGCUGGUGUACCUGUUAUGAUGCCAAUUGUAAACGCAGGGUAGCUAAGUGCGGAGAGGAUAACCGCUGAAAGCAUCUAAGUGGGAAGCCCACCUCAAGAUGAGUAUUCUGGUGUCGGGCCACGGGAAGACGACCCGUUAAUAGGCAGGAGGUGGAAGUGCAGUAAUGUAUGAAGCCGAACUGUACUAAUAGACCGUCAGCUUGACCAU
This 1329-nucleotide ribosomal RNA is filed under the name metagenome. RNAcentral's name for it is "bacterial LSU rRNA". It matches the Rfam family "Bacterial large subunit ribosomal RNA", at positions 1561 to 2925 of the family's 2925-position model. The record is from RNAcentral.